This 403-nucleotide ribosomal RNA is filed under the name uncultured bacterium. RNAcentral's name for it is "bacterial SSU rRNA". It matches the Rfam family "Bacterial small subunit ribosomal RNA", at positions 355 to 776 of the family's 1533-position model. The record is from RNAcentral.
UGGGGAAUCUUGGACAAUGGGGGCAACCCUGAUCCAGCGACGCCGCGUGACCGAUGACGCCCUUCGGGGUGUAAAGGUCUUCGGCGGGGACAAUAAUGAUGGUACCCGCAGAAGAAGGUGCGGCUAACUACGUGCCAGCAGCCGCGGUAAUACGUAGGCACCAAGCGUUGUUCGGAAUUACUGGGCGUAAAGCGAGUGUAGGCGGUUUGCCAAGUCGGUUGUGAAAUCUCCCGGCUUAACUGGGAGGGUGCGACUGAAACUGGCAGGCUGGAGUGCGGGAGAGGAGAGUGGAAUUCCUGGUGUAGCGGUGAAAUGCGUAGAUAUCAGGAGGAACACCGGUGGUGAAGACGGCUCUCUGGACCGCUACUGACGCUGAGACUCGAAAGCGUGGGGAGCAAACAGG